This 460-nucleotide ribosomal RNA is filed under the name uncultured bacterium. RNAcentral's name for it is "partial 16S ribosomal RNA". It matches the Rfam family "Bacterial small subunit ribosomal RNA", at positions 338 to 795 of the family's 1533-position model. The record is from RNAcentral.
CCUACGGGUGGCAGCAGUGAGGAAUAUUGGUCAAUGGACGAGAGUCUGAACCAGCCAAGUAGCGUGAAGGAUGACUGCCCUAUGGGUUGUAAACUUCUUUUAUAUGGGAAUAAAGUGUUCCACGUGUGGGAUUUUGUAUGUACCAUAUGAAUAAGGAUCGGCUAACUCCGUGCCAGCAGCCGCGGUAAUACGGAGGAUCCGAGCGUUAUCCGGAUUUAUUGGGUUUAAAGGGAGCGUAGGGGGAUUGUUAAGUCAGUUGUGAAAGUGUGCGGCUCAACCGUAAAAUUGCAGUUGAAACUGGCAGUCUUGAGUACAGUAGAGGUAGGCGGAAUUCGUGGUGUAGCGGUGAAAUGCUUAGAUAUCACGAAGAACUCCGAUUGCGAAGGCAGUUCACUGGACUGCAACUGACACUGAGGCUCGAAAGUGUGGGUAUCAAACAGGAUUAGAUACCCCUGUAGUC